GCUGGGCAUGGUGGUGUGUGCCUGUAAUCCCAGCUACUCAGGAGGCUGAGGCAGGAGAAUCGCUUGAACCCAGGAGGCGGAGGUUGCAGUGAGCCGAGAUCAUGCCAGUGCACUCCAGCCUGGGUGACAGAGCGAGACUCUGUCUCAA
This 148-nucleotide non-coding RNA is filed under the name Homo sapiens (human). The record is from Rfam by way of RNAcentral. Lineage: Eukaryota; Metazoa; Chordata; Mammalia; Primates; Hominidae.